UGGAAACUGUCUGACUNGAGUGCAGAAGGGGAGAGUGGAAUUCCAUGUGUAGCGGUGAAAUGCGUAGAUAUAUGGAGGANCACCAGUGGCGAAAGCGGCUCUCUGGUCUGUCACUGACGCUGAGGCUCGAAAGCGUGGGUAGCGAACAGGAUUAGAUACCCUGGUAGUNCACGCCGUAAACGAUGAGUGCUAGGUGUUAGGCCCUUUCCGGGGCUUAGUGCCGGAGCUAACGCAAUAAGCACUCCGCCUGGGGAGUACGACCGCAAGGUUGAAACUCAAAGGAAUUGACGGGGGCCCGCACAAGCGGUGGAGCAUGCGGUUUAAUUCGAAGCAACGCGAAGAACCUUACCAGGUCUUGACAUCCCGAUGCUAUUCUUAGAGAUAGGAAGUUACUUCGGUACAUCGGAGACAGGUGGUGCAUGGUUGUCGUCAGCUCGUGUCGUGAGAUGUUGGGUUAAGUCCCGCAACGAGCGCAACCCUUAUUGUUAGUUGCCAUCAUUAAGUUGGGCACUCUAGCGAGACUGCCGGUAAUAAACCGGAGGAAGGUGGGGAUGACGUCAAAUCAUCAUGCCCCUUAUGACCUGGGCUACACACGUGCUACAAUGGUCGGUACAACGAGUUGCGAGCCGGUGACGGCAAGCUAAUCUCUGAAAGCCGAUCUCAGUUCGGAUUGGAGGCUGCAACUCGCCUCCAUGAAGUCGGAAUCGCUAGUAAUCGCGGAUCAGCACGCCGCGGUGAAUACGUUCCCGGGCCUUGUACACACCGCCCGUCACACCACGAGAGUUUGUAACACCCGAAGUCGGUGAGGUAACCUUUUAGGGGCCAGCCGC
Molecule: ribosomal RNA, 830 nt
Filed under: uncultured bacterium
Lineage: Bacteria
Description: bacterial SSU rRNA
Rfam family: Bacterial small subunit ribosomal RNA
Source: RNAcentral